This 398-nucleotide ribosomal RNA is filed under the name uncultured bacterium. Its description in RNAcentral is "partial 16S ribosomal RNA". It matches the Rfam family "Bacterial small subunit ribosomal RNA", at positions 523 to 918 of the family's 1533-position model. The record is from RNAcentral.
AUACGUAGGGGGCGAGCGUUGUCCGGAAUUACUGGGCGUAAAGAGCUCGUAGGUGGUUUGUCGCGUCGUCUGUGAAAUUCCGGGGCUUAACUCCGGGCGUGCAGGCGAUACGGGCAUAACUUGAGUACUGUAGGGGAGACUGGAAUUCCUGGUGUAGCGGUGAAAUGCGCAGAUAUCAGGAGGAACACCGGUGGCGAAGGCGGGUCUCUGGGCAGUAACUGACGCUGAGGAGCGAAAGCAUGGGUAGCGAACAGGAUUAGAUACCCUGGUAGUCCAUGCCGUAAACGGGGGGCGCUAGGUGUAGGGGUCUUCCACGACUUCUGUGCCGUAGCUAACGCAUUAAGCGCCCCGCCUGGGGAGUACGGCCGCAAGGCUAAAACUCAAAUGAAUUGGCGGGG